UCAUGUGCCUAGCUUGGGCCAUUGGAUCGAGAUGUGAUAAAUUAAGUGGUAUCAGAGCUUAAGUUAAAGGACCUAUAGUUUAAGUUUGUCAGUGAAAGUGAGAUAGAAUUUAGAUUGUGAUUGAAUGAUUCUAAUCAUAAAAUAAUAAAUAAUUAUGCUAGAAUAGAUGCCUCUCUAUAAAAUAGAUUGUGAUGUCUCGAAUCCAAUCC
RNAcentral lists this long non-coding RNA (209 nucleotides) under Elaeis guineensis (African oil palm). RNAcentral's name for it is "long non-coding RNA (EGUI_LNC035078)". Lineage: Eukaryota; Viridiplantae; Streptophyta; Magnoliopsida; Arecales; Arecaceae. The record is from RNAcentral.